CCAGUCCCUAGAAAUGAUAAAGAAAACUGUUCAAAACAGAAACUGUUUUAGGAAAAGGAGAAAACACAGGCAGAUGCCAAGAGCAGCUUUAAACUUCCUGAAGUCCAAACUACACAAAAAGUAUUUGCUGAACAAGAAAAAACAUACAAUGCGUAAGUAUUGUGGUAAAUGAAAACACUGAAUGAUUAUUCAAAUAUCAGAAAAGUAAUAUAAAAGAGUUAAACAGUUAAAAAACGUCUUGGUACACUUAUUUAAAGUUGAUGGCUAUCAUUAAAUAUAACACCCUACUUCACAACUAACUCUUUUGAAUAUUUUGGUGCAUUUAAUAGCCAACAAAAAAACAUCCUUUACUGUGUUCACAAACUAGCAUCAUCAAUGUACAUUGUGUACAUUGCGAGCGAUGAAAAGCAUGUGCAUCAAACCAUGUGUUCUACGUCCAUGCAUUCUAUAUACAGACAUUGAAGGUGUACUUACGUAUGGAUAAUACCAUUCCAGAAAUUAUUUGUUUUCAUUUUCCAUGUGGAAUCACUUUGUUCUGACGUUGUUAUGACUCUUGUCAUACAAAAGAUCUUUUCACCCCAAAAUGGAUAGAUUAAGGAUAUUCUCUUCAAACUGCCAAGGAUUGAAUAAUGAUAAAAAGAGACUGGAUGCUUUUGAAAAUUUAAAGAAAAGAAGGGGAAAUAUCUAUUGUAUUCAGGACACUCAUUUUAUGAAGGACACAGAGCAAAAAGUUGAAAAUGAAUGGAGAGCAGAUGUUUGUUGUACUUUUUCUAUUCAGUGACGAUCAAGAGGCGUGCCAAAAAAAAACCGAAAAGAGGUGUGGAAAUGUUUUUGAUAACAAUUUUGUCUUUCAAGUUAUAGAGGAGAUUUAUGAUACAGAAAAUGGUAACUUCAUCAUUCUUAAGAUCAAAAUAAUUUAAGAAGAGUUUAGUAUGACUGAUAUCUAUGCACCAAAUACAGACACUCCAGGGUUUUAUAAAAAUAUUAAGAGACUAUUGUAUAAACUAAAUUCAGAAACAAAUAUAAUUUGUGGAGAUUUUAACCAUGCACUCGAUACCUAUAACUAUAAACACAUAAACAAUCCAAAAGCAUGAGAGGUUUUUUCUUGAAAUGUCAGAUGAAACUAAACCUUUAUGACCCGUGGAGAGAAGCUAACUUAAAGAAGAAAAGGUAUACUUGGAGAAAAUCAAAACUUAUGAAACAAACCAGAUAAGACUACUUCCUAGUUAGUAGAAAUCUAGAAAAAUCAAUUAUUGUCACUGACAUAGUCACAGGUUACAGAUCAGACCAUUCAAUGAUUACCAUGGAAAUGGAAUAUUCAAAAUUGGAAAGGGGAAUAGGUUCAAGUUCAACAACAGUUUACUGUACGACCCAGAGUAUUUCAAAGAAAUCAAAACAAUAAUUCAAGAAACAUUUGAUCAAGAUAGCAUAUUAAACACAGAUGUGGGGAAAAAAUUUAACAAUCAGCGAUCAACCAUUCUAUAAGGUGUUACUUUGUAUUAUUCGAGGCUUCACGAUAAAAUACUGAAAUUGAUUAAAUAGAGAGAACGAAAUAAAUGAAAAACUUGAAACGCUAGAAACUAAACUGGACGAAACAAACGAGCAUCAUGAUAAACAUAUGAUCAUAAAAAAAAUAAGUAAAUUGAAAUUUAGAAUUUUUCAACUUUGGACCUUCAAUUACAAAAUGGAUAAAAACUUUCUAUAACGAUAUCAAAUCAAGUGUUCUUUUUAACGGUUUCUCCUCAGACUUCUUUAACUUAACAAGAGCAUGUAGACAGGGUGAUCGCCUUAAUUAUUGUGCAGAAAUUCUAGCUAAAAUGUUAAGGGAAAAUAAAAAUGUCAAAAGGCAUUAAACUUGUUGAUAUGGACUGACUGAGUAUGGUUUUACGCCGUUUUUAGCAAUAUUCCAGCAAAAUCACGGCGGGGGACACCAGAAAUGGGCUUCACAUAUUGUACCCAUGUGGGGAAUCGAACCCGGGCCUUGUACCUUUCAAAAAGAAAUAAAGUGAUAGAAAAUAUAAAAGAGUUUAUGCCUAUGCACUAUUUCUCAAAGCGCAUUAAUGAUUAUAAGAAGUAUGUAUUGCUUCUAGAAAUUAAAUGUACAAGUAAUACACUUUUACAGUUUUACUUGCAGAGAGGGCUAAAAGGCUUUCAAGUAUUUCUAGAAAAGCUGUCAAUAAGGAGCAUGGACAAUCUGUGUUUGACCAACCAAAUAUGGCAAGUGUCAUGACAAACACAGCAGCUGCAUUUGUGGGAGGAAAGAGGAAAUGGACAGAAACAAUAGACUUAAAAAGAGAAUCCGAUGAGGACACCACA
Haliotis rubra (blacklip abalone) is the source of this 2316-nucleotide long non-coding RNA. RefSeq lists it as uncharacterized. The record is from RefSeq and is a predicted model, not a curated record. The transcript has 3 exons. NCBI's taxonomy places the organism in Eukaryota, Metazoa, Mollusca, Gastropoda, Lepetellida, Haliotidae.